GAUGAAGAACGUAGCGAAAUGCGAUAAGUAAUGUGAAUUGCAGAAUCCAGUGAAUCAUCGAAUCUUUGAACGCACAUUGCGCCCGUCAGCAUUCUGGCGGGCAUGCCUGUUCGAGCGUCGUUUCAACCCUCGACCUCCCCUUGGGGAGGUCGGCGUUGGGGACCGGCAGCACACCGCCGGCCCUGAAAUGGAGUGGCGGCCCGUCUGCGGCGACCUCUGCGUAGUAAUACAGCUCGCACCGGAACCCCGACGCGGCCACGCCGUAAAACACCCAACUUCUGAACGUUGACCUCGAAUCAGGUAGGACUACCCGCUGAACUUAAGCAUAUCAAUAAGCGGAGGA
RNAcentral lists this unclassified non-coding RNA (343 nucleotides) under soil metagenome. RNAcentral describes it as "partial contains 5.8S ribosomal RNA, internal transcribed spacer 2, and large subunit ribosomal RNA". The stretch from base 1 to 120 matches the Rfam family "5.8S ribosomal RNA", at positions 35 to 154 of the family's 154-position model. The record is from RNAcentral.